Molecule: ribosomal RNA, 254 nt
Filed under: uncultured bacterium
Lineage: Bacteria
Description: partial 16S ribosomal RNA
Rfam family: Bacterial small subunit ribosomal RNA
Source: RNAcentral
UACGUAGGGUGCGAGCGUUGUCCGGAAUUAUUGGGCGUAAAGAGCUCGUAGGCGGUGUGUCGCGUCGGCCGUGAAAACCUGGGGCUUAACUCUGGGCGUGCGGUCGAUACGGGCAUCACUGGAGUUCGGCAGGGGAGACUGGAAUUCCUGGUGUAGCGGUGAAAUGCGCAGAUAUCAGGAGGAACACCGGUGGCGAAGGCGAGUCCCUGGAAAAUACCUGACACUGAGGCACGAAAGCUAGGGGAGCAAACAGG